RNAcentral lists this non-coding RNA (93 nucleotides) under uncultured Clostridium sp. RNAcentral's name for it is "Purine riboswitch". It matches the Rfam family "Purine riboswitch aptamer". From Rfam's summary of the family: Riboswitches are metabolite binding domains within certain messenger RNAs that serve as precision sensors for their corresponding targets. Allosteric rearrangement of mRNA structure is mediated by ligand binding, and this results in modulation of gene expression. The record is from RNAcentral. Lineage: Bacteria; Bacillati; Bacillota; Clostridia; Eubacteriales; Clostridiaceae.
AUAUCAUAUAGAAACUCGUAUAAAAUCGGAGAUAAGGUCCGAAAGUUUCUACCUGCUAGCCGUAAAUUAGCAGACUACGAGGUAAGCUUGUUU